Molecule: ribosomal RNA, 386 nt
Filed under: uncultured bacterium
Lineage: Bacteria
Description: bacterial SSU rRNA
Rfam family: Bacterial small subunit ribosomal RNA
Source: RNAcentral
ACGAACGCUGGCGGCGCGCCUAAUACAUGCAAGUCGAGCGAGAAGACGUAGCAAUACGUUUGUAAAGCGGCGAACGGGUGAGGAAUACAUGGGUAACCUACCCUCGAGUGGGAAUAACUAGCCGAAAGGUUAGCUAAUACCGCGUACGCUCCUUGGACUUCGGUUCAGGGAGGAAAGCGAUACCGUGGGUAUCGCGCUCUUGGAUGGGCUCAUGUCCUAUCAGCUUGUUGGUGAGGAACGGCUCACCAAGGCUUCGACGGGUAGCUGGUCUGAGAGGACGAUCAGCCACACUGGCACUGCGACACGGGCCAGACUCCUACGGGAGGCAGCAGUAAGGAAUAUUGCGCAAUGGGCGAAAGCCUGACGCAGCGACGCCGCGUGGGGGA